Pipistrellus kuhlii (Kuhl's pipistrelle) is the source of this 103-nucleotide small nuclear RNA. The record is from RefSeq and is a predicted model, not a curated record. NCBI's taxonomy places the organism in Eukaryota, Metazoa, Chordata, Mammalia, Chiroptera, Vespertilionidae.
GUGCUUGCUUUGGAAGGACACAUACUAACUUGGAAUGAUACAGAAAUUAGCUUGGUCCCUGUGCGAGGAUGACAGGCAAAUUUGUGAAAUGUUCCAUAUACAU